UAAAGUAAAAAAAAUAGUUAUGUCUUUCUGUGUACCACAUCAGCUGAAUGCCUUACAUAUUGUUAUAAAUUCUUUUAAUUAUUCAGUUUUAAAUAUUUAAUGACUUUCAUUGUGGUUUCUUCUAUGACAUGUGAAUCAUUUCAUGCUACUUAUUUUUCAAACUGAAUAAUCAGAAUAACAUUGAUAAGAAUAUUGCUUCUCGAAUACUUGUUUUCUCUUUUUCAUGUGGUCAGUUGUGAGAAACAAAAUUCCAAUAUGUGUAAUAUGGGUGCAAGAUUCUAUUCAUUUCCAUUAGAUCAGGCUCUGUGACAGUAGUACUUCUUUUUUUAAAGAUUUUAUUUAUUUAUUCAUGAGAGACAGAGAGAGAGAGAGAGAGAGAGGCAAAGACACAGGCAGAGGGAGAAGCAGGCUCCAUGCAGGGAGCCCAACGCGGGACUCGACCCUGGGACCCUAGGAUCAUGCCCUGAGCCAAAGGCAGGCGCUAAACCGCUGAGCCACCCAGGGAUCCCCUGCCCAGUACUUCUUGAUAAUCAGGCAACUACCCCUCCUCCUUUCUUCAGGUCAUGCUGCUAGUCAAGGUCAUAUGACUAGGUCUAGUGAAUGGAAGCUUCAUGUCUCUCUUUCAGGCUGAAGCAGUGAAAACCCAUGCAUAAUUUUCUGAUCUUUUUUCACCUUCUGCAGUGAAAGAAGUAGCCGCUUGUCCCAGAUAAUAAAUCUAAAAGAUCACAAGCCUCCAUUAGCCUCUGUAGAGAGACAUAGUCAGAGACUCUUUUGAACAAAAUGUGAGUGAGAAAUAAAUGGUGACUAUUGAGUCAUUAAAAUGGCAUCACUUCUCCUAACCUUACAAAUAUGCCUUGUUCAUUAUGUUGUUCAAAUUUUCCUACUUCUUCAGAACUUAUUGUUUGAUUAAUAUAUUUCUGAGAAAUGUGCGUUAAAACUGUUUUGAUUAUAUAUUUGUCAAUUUCUGUUUCCAAUCAUGUCCCUGUGGGAUUUAUAUAUGUUUGAUACAUGCAAAUUCAAAAUCUAAAAUCUUCCUAAUGGGGGUGCCUAGGUGGCACAUUUGAUUGAGCAUCUGACUCUUGGCUCUGGCUCAGGUCUUGAUCUCAGGAUUCUGGGAUAGAGCCACCUCAUUGGCUCUGCAUUCAGCACAGAGUCCAUUUGAGUUCCUCUCUCCCUUGCUCUCUACCCUGCCCCCACACACUCAUGUGCACGCACUCAUGUGCACGUGCUCUCCCUCUCUCUCUCAAAUAAAUAUUUUUAAAAUAAUAAUAAAAUCUUCCUAAUGAAUUGUUUAUAUAUUAUUCAUUAUAUAAUGAUAUUGUAUCACUAAUAAUAGUUUGUAUCUUGCAUCAAUUCUGACAUUGGUAUGAUAUUGAUAAUUUUAAUAUAGUUACAUCAAUUUUAUUUUAAUUAAUGUUUGCUUACUAUAUCCAACUAUACAUAUACAUAUAAGUAGGUACAUACAUACACACACAUGCAUAUGGGCAUGUAAACAUAUUCACAUCAUUUACACAGUUGGAAUAUAUUUUAUCCAAUCAGAAUCUGGGUCUUUUUUUAUUUUUCAGAAGGAGAAGGUUCAGGAAGAGGCAAAGGGAGAGAGAUAAUCCCAUGCAUGGGAGGAGCCCAACAUGGGGCUCAGUGUCAGAACCCUGAGAUCAUGACCCAAGCUGAAAUCAAGAGUCAGUUGCUUAACUGACUGAGCCACUCCGUGCCCCUCUGUCUUCUCAUAGAUGUCUUUAAGCCAUUCAUAUAUCAUUCAUAACUGAUAUAUAUACUUGUUUCUACCACUGUAUUUUGUCAUUUUUCUUCUUUAUACUCCUUUUCUGAAUUAAAUUGAAUAACCAUGUUUUCUUCUUACUUUUUACCUUGGUCAUUUUUAAGAGCCUCACACACACACACACACACACACACACACACACUUUUCUGGUCAAAACUCAAUCUGACUCUACUAUCUGAAGAUUAAACUUUUAAUAAACUCAGGAAAAUUCUUAGAUAAUCUCAAAUAGUCUCACCAAUUACUUAAUUGAGAAAUUAUGGCUCUCAAUUCCUGCAUAGAAAUCUGGGAAUUAAAAUAUAUAAUUUCCUUGAACUAAGCUCCCAAAAUUCAAAUAGUUACUCAGUGCUUUAAAUAUUGUCUUAGAUAUUUUUAAUUCUAUCCCCUUUAUUUUUUAUUUUUUAAUUCUAUCCCCUUUAUUCCAUCCUCUCCAUUACUGUCUUUGUUUAUACCUUCAGCCUCUCACUUGGAGUACUGUAAAGUCCUAACAGGUCUCCCUACCUCAAGUCUUGGCGUGUUGCCUCCUCUAAAUCCACACUGCAUGCAGAGAGGUAUAUGUCUAAAAGUCUGCUAUAACCAGCCAUACCUCUGCCUUAAAGCCCAAAGUUUCCCCAAAUCUAUAAGAUCAGACUUCCUAGCAAAGUAUUCAAAAAUGUACAAAAUUCUUGGUUGCCUGUCUAUUCUUGGCUUCCCAGGUCAUCUCCAGCCACAUCCUCCUGCAAACUUUAGACUCUAGUAGUACCUAAGUACUUGUAGUUCCCUGUAUAGUUCAUGCUGUGACAUACUUUUAGGACUUUGUUCAUGCUAGUUCCUUGUACUUAGUGUCUUGCAACACCCUUCCUAUUUUUUUGAACUCUGAGUAACUCAGUCUUCAUAACACUGCAUGAAUUCUGAGGCUAAUUAUAAGAAGCUUUGCAGAUUCAUCUGAAAUCUCUUGGGAUACUCAUUCACUGGCAGUAUGCAGGCUCCAUGUUGUUGGAAGCCCAAGGACAUGGACAGACUGAUUGUAGAAAAAUCAAUUUAGUCCUAGCUGAAUUCCUAGAUACUGACCAACAUCAACUGCUAGCCAUGAGCCAUCUUGGAUAACCAGUCCUGCUGAGCCUGAAGAUGGUUCCACUCCUGGCCACCAUCUGACUGCAAUCACAUAAGAGACCUACCCCCAACAGGACUUCCCAGAUUCACUUUCUACCCUGCUACAAAUCCAGAAGGACUUCUACCCAGUUACAAACUCCAGGGGAUUCUAUCAAGGGGUUCCACUGAUACCUGACUACCCAAUGGUUCAGAUAAUGGAAAGCUCUAGCAAAAGGUGCAUCUUACAGCACAGAGGUGAAGCUGCAAAAUUACUCAGAAGCUGAGCAUCUCCAAUUUGAAGCAACCCGAGUGGUCAUCUCCUGUAGUCUUCCACUUUGUCACAGUAUUCCUCACAGCAGGACGGCCACCCUGUGUUUGAACACCUCUAAGGACAGGUAGUUCUCUCAGAAGAGCAGCCCACCUUAUCAUUCAAUAGCUCUAGUCAUUAAAAUGUCUGCAGUUAUAUGGUUUCAAAUUAUACCUCUGUAUGAUUUAGGACAUUUUGUCUUCUAGACAUACACAAAUACAAAGUAAGUCUACAUGACAAUGCUUCCAAUAUUUAAAUUAAACUGUUAACGAGUAACUCUUAUCUCCUAUCUCAAAUGUCCAGUUAGGUUCUUCACUAUCCUUACAUGAGUCCUUGUUUAUUCAUAUCCACUUUUAAAAAGGCCAAAACUAGAAUAAUUUAGAUGUGGUAUGACCAACUAGAGAUAACCUGGAUACCACACUAGUAUUGAAAGAGCCUAAAAUACCUUGUUUUUAGCAGUUGCAUCCCACUUAGAGUUCAUUCACAGUUUGUGGUAAAUAAACACCAAACUCUGCUUUUAAGCCAUAUCCUCUAUCUUGUUCUUAGCCAAGU
Canis lupus familiaris (dog) is the source of this 3704-nucleotide long non-coding RNA. RefSeq lists it as uncharacterized. The transcript is spliced from 3 exons. The record is from RefSeq and is a predicted model, not a curated record. Lineage: Eukaryota; Metazoa; Chordata; Mammalia; Carnivora; Canidae.